Molecule: ribosomal RNA, 253 nt
Filed under: uncultured bacterium
Lineage: Bacteria
Description: partial 16S ribosomal RNA
Rfam family: Bacterial small subunit ribosomal RNA
Source: RNAcentral
UACGUAGGCAGCGAGCGUUGUUCGGAGUUACUGGGCGUAAAGGGUGUGUAGGCGGUUGUUUAAGUUUGGUGUGAAAUCUCCCGGCUCAACUGGGAGGGUGCGCCGAAUACUGAGCGACUAGAGUGCGGGAGAGGAAAGUGGAAUUCCUGGUGUAGCGGUGAAAUGCGCAGAUAUCAGGAAGAACACCCGUGGCGAAGGCGGCUCUCUGGAACGCAACUGACGCUGAGACGCGAAAGCGUGGGGAGCAAACAGG